RNAcentral lists this small nuclear RNA (120 nucleotides) under Choloepus hoffmanni (Hoffmann's two-fingered sloth). Lineage: Eukaryota; Metazoa; Chordata; Mammalia; Pilosa; Megalonychidae. The record is from RNAcentral.
GUGCUCUCUUCGGCAGCACAAGAGAGCAGCACAUAUACUAAAAUUGGAACUAUAUAGAGAAGAUUAGCAUGGCCCCUGCACAAGGAUGACAAGCAAAUUCAUGAAGUGUUCCAUAUUUAG